CACGUAGGGGGCAAGCGUUGUCCGGAUUUAUUGGGCGUAAAGAGCUCGUAGGCGGCUCAGUAAGUCAGGUGUGAAACCUCCAGGCUCAACCUGGAGACGCCACCUGAUACUGCUGUGGCUAGAGUCCGGUAGGGGAGCGUGGAAUUCCUGGUGUAGCGGUGAAAUGCGCAGAUAUCAGGAGGAACACCAGCGGCGAAGGCGGUCCCCUGGGCCGGAACUGACGCUGAGGCGCGAAAGCGUGGGUAGCAAUCCGG
This 254-nucleotide ribosomal RNA is filed under the name uncultured bacterium. Its description in RNAcentral is "partial 16S ribosomal RNA". It matches the Rfam family "Bacterial small subunit ribosomal RNA", at positions 524 to 776 of the family's 1533-position model. The record is from RNAcentral.